RNAcentral lists this unclassified non-coding RNA (210 nucleotides) under Ambispora leptoticha. Its description in RNAcentral is "partial contains 5.8S ribosomal RNA and internal transcribed spacer 2". The stretch from base 1 to 71 matches the Rfam family "5.8S ribosomal RNA", at positions 84 to 154 of the family's 154-position model. Lineage: Eukaryota; Fungi; Glomeromycota; Glomeromycetes; Archaeosporales; Ambisporaceae. The record is from RNAcentral.
GUGAAUCAUCAAAUCUUUGAACGCAUAUUGCACUCCCUGGUAUUCCGGAGAGUAUGCCUAUUUGAGGGUCAUUUGUAAUAAUAUAAAUUCCAAGAUUUCUCGGAAUUUAAAAUGGGUUGUCCAUUUUAUGUGGUCUCCUAAAAUUAAAGAAAAGCCAAUUUUCUUGGGUUGCGUGAUACUUUCAGUUAUUUUGUGAUUUAACCAGGAAUA